Schistosoma curassoni is the source of this 45-nucleotide non-coding RNA. The record is from Rfam. NCBI's taxonomy places the organism in Eukaryota, Metazoa, Platyhelminthes, Trematoda, Strigeidida, Schistosomatidae.
AUCUAGCUGACGAGUCCCAAACAGAACGGAACAUACGUCUUAGAU